This 459-nucleotide ribosomal RNA is filed under the name uncultured bacterium. RNAcentral's name for it is "bacterial SSU rRNA". It matches the Rfam family "Bacterial small subunit ribosomal RNA", at positions 32 to 507 of the family's 1533-position model. The record is from RNAcentral.
AACGCUGGCGGCGUGCUUAACACAUGCAAGUCGAACGGUAAGGCCCUUCGGGGUACACGAGUGGCGAACAGGUGAGUAACACGUGGGUGAUCUGCCCUGCACUUCGGGAUAAGCCUGGGAAACUGGGUCUAAUACCGGAUAGGACUCCUGGCUUCAUGGUUGGGGGUGUAAAGCUUUUGCGGUGUGGGAUGGGCCCGCGGCCUAUCAGCUUGUUGGUGGGGUAAUGGCCUACCAAGGGCGACGACGGGCAGCCGGCCUGAGAGGGUGACCGGCCACACUGGGACUGAGAUACGGCCCAGACUCCUACGGGAGGCAGCAGUGGGGAAUAUUGCACAAUGGGCGCAAGCCUGAUGCAGCGACGCCGCGUGAGGGAUGACGGCCUUCGGGUUGUAAACCUCUUUCAAUAGGGACGAAGCGCAAGUGACGGUACCUAUAGAAGAAGGACCGGCCAACUACGUG